Molecule: ribosomal RNA, 449 nt
Filed under: uncultured bacterium
Lineage: Bacteria
Description: bacterial SSU rRNA
Rfam family: Bacterial small subunit ribosomal RNA
Source: RNAcentral
UUCCAGACUCCUACGGGAGGCAGCAGUGGGGAAUAUUGCACAAUGGGGGAAACCCUGAUGCAGCGACGCCGCGUGAGUGAAGAAGUAUUUCGGUAUGUAAAGCUCUAUCAGCAGGGAAGAUAAUGACGGUACCUGACUAAGAAGCCCCGGCUAACUACGUGCCAGCAGCCGCGGUAAUACGUAUGGGGCAAGCGUUAUCCGGAUUUACUGGGUGUAAAGGGAGCGUAGGCGGCAGGGCAAGCCUGAUGUGAAAGCCCGGGGCUCAACCCCGGGACUGCAUUGGGAACUGCCCCGCUCGAGUGCCGGAGGGGCAGGCGGAAUUCCUAGUGUAGCGGUGAAAUGCGUAGAUAUUAGGAGGAACACCAGUGGCGAAGGCGGCGUACUGGACUGUAACUGACGUUGAGGCUCGAAAGCGUGGGGAGCAAACAGGAUUAGAUACCCCCGUACGG